This 400-nucleotide ribosomal RNA is filed under the name Candidatus Bathyarchaeota archaeon. RNAcentral's name for it is "bacterial SSU rRNA". It matches the Rfam family "Archaeal small subunit ribosomal RNA", at positions 279 to 681 of the family's 1478-position model. Lineage: Archaea; Thermoproteati; Candidatus Bathyarchaeota. The record is from RNAcentral.
AGAGCGGUAGCCUGGAGAUGGACACUGAGACAAGGGUCCAGGCCCUACGGGGCGCAGCAGGCGCGAAAACUCCGCAAUGCGCGCAAGCGUGACGGGGCUACCCCGAGUGCUGUCCGCUGAGGAUAGCUUUUCUUCGGUUUAAGGAGCCGGUGGAAUAAGGAGAGGGCAGGCCUGGUGUCAGCCGCCGCGGUAAUACCAGCUCCCCGAGUAGUGGGGAUAAUUAUUGGGCCUAAAGCGUCCGUAGCUGGCUUAACAAGUCUUCUGUUAAAUCCAACGACUCAAUCGUUAGACUGCAGGAGAUACUGUUGGGCUAGGGGGCGGAAGAAGCCGACGGUACUCCUGAGGUAGGGGUGAAAUCCUAUAAUCCCAGGAGGACCACCAGUGGCGAAGGCGGUCGGCU